RNAcentral lists this ribosomal RNA (1421 nucleotides) under Synechococcus sp. PS838. RNAcentral describes it as "bacterial SSU rRNA". It matches the Rfam family "Bacterial small subunit ribosomal RNA". Lineage: Bacteria; Bacillati; Cyanobacteriota; Cyanophyceae; Synechococcales; Synechococcaceae. The record is from RNAcentral.
GAUGAACGCUGGCGGCGUGCUUAACACAUGCAAGUCGAACGAGCCUUCGGGCUAGUGGCGGACGGGUGAGUAACGCGUGAGAAUCUGCCCUCAGGAGGGGGAUAACGGCUGGAAACGGCCGCUAAUACCCCAUAUGCCGCGAGGUGAAACGAGUUUUCGCCUGAGGAUGAGCUCGCGUCUGAUUAGCUAGUUGGUGGGGUAAGAGCCUACCAAGGCAUCGAUCAGUAGCUGGUCUGAGAGGAUGAUCAGCCACACUGGGACUGAGACACGGCCCAGACUCCUACGGGAGGCAGCAGUGGGGAAUUUUCCGCAAUGGGCGCAAGCCUGACGGAGCAACGCCGCGUGAGGGAUGAAGGCCUCUGGGCUGUAAACCUCUUUUCUCAAGGAAGAAGAACUGACGGUACUUGAGGAAUAAGCCACGGCUAAUUCCGUGCCAGCAGCCGCGGUAAUACGGGAGUGGCAAGCGUUAUCCGGAAUUAUUGGGCGUAAAGCGUCCGCAGGCGGUCUUGAAAGUCUGUUGUUAAAGCGUGGAGCUCAACUCCAUUUCAGCAAUGGAAACUAGAAGACUAGAGUGUGGUAGGGGCAGAGGGAAUUCCCGGUGUAGCGGUGAAAUGCGUAGAUAUCGGGAAGAACACCAGUGGCGAAGGCGCUCUGCUGGGCCAUAACUGACGCUCAUGGACGAAAGCCAGGGGAGCGAAAGGGAUUAGAUACCCCUGUAGUCCUGGCCGUAAACGAUGAACACUAGGUGUCGGGGGAAUCGACCCCCUCGGUGUCGUAGCUAACGCGUUAAGUGUUCCGCCUGGGGAGUACGCACGCAAGUGUGAAACUCAAAGGAAUUGACGGGGGCCCGCACAAGCGGUGGAGUAUGUGGUUUAAUUCGAUGCAACGCGAAGAACCUUACCAGGGUUUGACAUCCUGCGAAUCUUUUGGAAACAGAAGAGUGCCUUCGGGAGCGCAGAGACAGGUGGUGCAUGGCUGUCGUCAGCUCGUGUCGUGAGAUGUUGGGUUAAGUCCCGCAACGAGCGCAACCCACGUCUUUAGUUGCCAGCAUUAAGUUGGGCACUCUAGAGAGACCGCCGGUGAUAAACCGGAGGAAGGUGUGGAUGACGUCAAGUCAUCAUGCCCCUUACAUCCUGGGCUACACACGUACUACAAUGCUACGGACAAAGGGCAGCAAACUCGCGAGAGCUAGCAAAUCCCAUAAACCGUGGCUCAGUUCAGAUCGUAGGCUGCAACUCGCCUACGUGAAGGAGGAAUCGCUAGUAAUCGCAGGUCAGCAUACUGCGGUGAAUACGUUCCCGGGCCUUGUACACACCGCCCGUCACACCAUGGAAGUUGGCCAUGCCCGAAGUCGUUACUCCAACCCUUGUGGAGGAGGACGCCGAAGGUGGGGCUGAUGACUGGGGUGAAGUCGUAACAAG